GACGAACGCUUGCGGCGUGCUUAACACAUGCAAGUCGAACGGAAAGGCCCUGCUUUUGUGGGGUGCUCGAGUGGCGAACGGGUGAGUAACACGUGAGUAACCUGCCCUUGACUUUGGGAUAACUUCAGGAAACUGGGGCUAAUACCGGAUAGGAGCUCCUGCUGCAUGGUGGGGGUUGGAAAGUUUCGGCGGUUGGGGAUGGACUCGCGGCUUAUCAGCUUGUUGGUGGGGUAGUGGCUUACCAAGGCUUUGACGGGUAGCCGGCCUGAGGGGGUGACCGGCCACAUUGGGACUGAGAUACGGCCCAGACUCCUACGGGAGGCAGCAGUGGGGAAUAUUGCACAAUGGGCGGAAGCCUGAUGCAGCAACACCGCGUGCGGGAUGACGGCCUUCGGGUUGUAAACCGCUUUCGCCUGUGACGAAGCGUGAGUGACGGUAAUGGGUAAAGAAGCACCGGCUAACUACGUGCCAGCAGCCGCGGUGAUACGUAGGGUGCGAGCGUUGUCCGGAUUUAUUGGGCGUAAAGGGCUCGUAGGUGGUUGAUCGCGUCGGAAGUGUAAUCUUGGGGCUUAACCCUGAGCGUGCUUUCGAUACGGGUUGACUUGAGGAAGGUAGGGGAGAAUGGAAUUCCUGGUGGAGCGGUGGAAUGCGCAGAUAUCAGGAGGAACACCAGUGGCGAAGGCGGUUCUCUGGGCCUUUCCUGACGCUGAGGAGCGAAAGCGUGGGGAGCGAACAGGCUUAGAUACCCUGGUAGUCCACGCUGUAAACGGUGGGUACUAGGUGUGGGGUCCAUUCCACGGGUUCCGUGCCGUAGCUAACGCUUUAAGUACCCCGCCUGGGGAGUACGGCCGCAAGGCUAAAACUCAAAGGAAUUGACGGGGCCCCGCACAAGCGGCGGAGCAUGCGGAUUAAUUCGAUGCAACGCGUAGAACCUUACCUGGGUUUGACAUGGAUCGGGAGUGCUCAGAGAUGGGUGUGCCUCUUUUGGGGUCGGUUCACAGGUGGUGCAUGCCUGUCGUCAGCUCGUGUCGUGAGAUGUUGGGUUAAGUCCCGCAACGAGCGCAACCCUUGUUCACUGUUGCCAGCACGUUAUGGUGGGGACUCAGUGGAGACCGCCGGGGUCAACUCGGAGGAAGGUGGGGAUGACGUCAAGUCCUCAUGCCCCUUAUGUCCAGGGCUUCACGCAUGCUACAAUGGCUGGUACAGAGAGUGGCGAGCCUGUGAGGGUGAGCGAAUCUCGGAAAGCCGGUCUCAGUUCGGAUUGGGGUCUGCAACUCGACCUCAUGAAGUCGGAGUCGCUAGUAAUCGCAGAUCAGCAACGCUGCGGUGAAUACGUUCCCGGG
RNAcentral lists this ribosomal RNA (1343 nucleotides) under uncultured bacterium. RNAcentral describes it as "16S ribosomal RNA". It matches the Rfam family "Bacterial small subunit ribosomal RNA", at positions 28 to 1378 of the family's 1533-position model. The record is from RNAcentral.